AGUGAACGCUGGCGGUAGGCCUAACACAUGCAAGUCGAACGGCAGCACAGUAAGAGCUUGCUCUUACGGGUGGCGAGUGGCGGACGGGUGAGGAAUACAUCGGAAUCUACUUUUUCGUGGGGGAUAACGUAGGGAAACUUACGCUAAUACCGCAUACGACCUACGGGUGAAAGCAGGGGAUCUUCGGACCUUGCGCGAUUGAAUGAGCCGAUGUCGGAUUAGCUAGUUGGCGGGGUAAAGGCCCACCAAGGCGACGAUCCGUAGCUGGUCUGAGAGGAUGGGGAGGCAGACGGGAUAUGAGACAGAGUACAGACGCCUGCGGGAGGCAGCAGUGGGGAGUAGGGGACGAUGGGCGGAAGGUUGUUCAGGCCCUACGGCGUGAGUGAAGAGGGCCUUAUGAUUGUAAAGCCUCUUUGUGGGUAAAGAAAAGCAGCAGGUUAAUACCCCGCUGGUCUGACGGUACGGAAAGAAUAAGCAACGGCGAACUUCGUG
Molecule: ribosomal RNA, 492 nt
Filed under: uncultured bacterium
Lineage: Bacteria
Description: partial 16S ribosomal RNA
Rfam family: Bacterial small subunit ribosomal RNA
Source: RNAcentral